This 301-nucleotide ribosomal RNA is filed under the name uncultured bacterium. RNAcentral's name for it is "partial 16S ribosomal RNA". It matches the Rfam family "Bacterial small subunit ribosomal RNA", at positions 509 to 807 of the family's 1533-position model. The record is from RNAcentral.
CAGCAGCCGCGGUAAUACGUAGGGUGCGAGCGUUAAUCGGAAUUACUGGGCGUAAAGCGUGCGCAGGCGGUUAUAUAAGACAGAUGUGAAAUCCCCGGGCUCAACCUGGGACCUGCAUUUGUGACUGUAUAGCUAGAGUACGGUAGAGGGGGAUGGAAUUCCGCGUGUAGCAGUGAAAUGCGUAGAUAUGCGGAGGAACACCGAUGGCGAAGGCAAUCCCCUGGACCUGUACUGACGCUCAUGCACGAAAGUGUGGGGAGCAAACAGGAUUAGAUACCCCUGUAGUCCCUGUCUCUUAUAC